ACUGUUCUCCAGCUUUUCUCUAGAGUUCUGAGUGUAUUUUCCUGUUGUCUAGUGCCGGCUCGACCUUUGACCUGCUGUGUGAUCUUAGACAAGUCUCAUACUCUCUCUGAUUAUCCACUCCCAAUCUAUAGAAUGGGAGCAGGAAUGAGACGUUAAUAAUGGUCUCUAAGGCCACCUUCUAGCUCCGCCUUUGCAGGAUCCUGGGAGGAGGUUUCUGGUGUCAGCAAGUUCCAGCACCACAUGCUGCGAAUCUACCCAACGUUCUGUCUCAGAUGUGGCAUCAGGCUCCACCCCAGCGCCCGCUCUCUGCUGCGCACCCUACGAUAGUCGACUGCUGGGCAGUGCGCGACCGGAGCUGGGCGCCACCUUGGGCAUCUAUGGAGCCCCCUAUGCGGCCGCUGCAGCUGCCCAGAGCUACCCUGGCUACCUGCCCUAUAGCCCAGAGCCCCCCUCACUGUAUGGGGCACUGAGAUACAAAGGGUCAGAGAAAAGCUCCUGAAGAAGAGUAAAGCAGGAAGUGCCCCAGCUGAAUCCACAGUAUGAAUUUAAGGAGGCUGCAGGGAGUUUUACAUCCAGCCUGGCACAACCAGGAGCCUAUUAUCCCUAUGAGCGGACUCUGGGGCAGUACCAAUAUGAACGGUAUGGCGCAGUGGAAUUGAGUGGCGCCGGUCGCCGAAAGAACGCGACCCGGGAGACCACCAGUACACUCAAGGCCUGGCUCAACGAGCACCGCAAAAACCCCUACCCCACUAAGGGUGAGAAGAUCAUGCUGGCCAUCAUCACCAAGAUGACCCUCACCCAGGUGUCCACCUGGUUCGCCAACGCACGCCGGCGCCUCAAGAAAGAGAAC
Molecule: small RNA, 850 nt
Filed under: Pan troglodytes (chimpanzee)
Lineage: Eukaryota; Metazoa; Chordata; Mammalia; Primates; Hominidae
Description: processed transcript
Source: RNAcentral